UACAGAGGGUGCAAGCGUUAAUCGGAAUUACUGGGCGUAAAGCGUGUGUAGGCUGCUACAUAAGUCGGAUGUGAAAGCCCCGGGCUCAACCCGGGAAGUGCACUCGAUACUGCGUAGCUUGAGUCUCGGAGAGGUUGGUGGAAUUCUCGGUGUAGAGGUGAAAUUCGUAGAUAUCGAGAGGAACACCGGUGGCGAAGGCGGCCAACUGGACGAAGACUGACGCUGAGACACGAAAGCGUGGGGAGCAAACAGG
This 253-nucleotide ribosomal RNA is filed under the name uncultured bacterium. RNAcentral's name for it is "partial 16S ribosomal RNA". It matches the Rfam family "Bacterial small subunit ribosomal RNA", at positions 524 to 776 of the family's 1533-position model. The record is from RNAcentral.